AUGCACAUUUUCAAUAGAGUUGCAAUCUAUACUUCUCUGGACUACGAGACAGGGCGCACGAACUACAAUGUUCCUCUUUUUAAUCCACAAUACAAACACACACAAAUUACAGUGAUGAGGGACUUCAAAAAUAAAUCCACAUUUCUGUCUAUGAAAUGCAAGCCGGUGCCAGCGCACUGCAUGUCCAGUCCCCACAGCAUUGCACCUGUGCGCCCAUGGGAUGGCAGCCAAAAUCUGAAAAGUGGAAAAAAUGUCAACCGUGAGCAAAAUACACACAAAAAUCACCGAUCUUCCUGCACCCCAUCUUCAAAAUACACACAAAAAUGA
This 327-nucleotide ribosomal RNA is filed under the name Triticum aestivum (bread wheat). RNAcentral describes it as "partial small subunit ribosomal RNA". The record is from RNAcentral. Lineage: Eukaryota; Viridiplantae; Streptophyta; Magnoliopsida; Poales; Poaceae.